Molecule: ribosomal RNA, 253 nt
Filed under: uncultured bacterium
Lineage: Bacteria
Description: partial 16S ribosomal RNA
Rfam family: Bacterial small subunit ribosomal RNA
Source: RNAcentral
UACGUAGGGUGCGAGCGUUGUCCGGAAUUAUUGGGCGUAAAGAGCUCGUAGGCGGUUUGUUGCGUCGGCCGUGAAAACUCAGGGCUUAACUCUGAGCCUGCGGUCGAUACGGGCAGACUUGAGUUCGGUAGGGGAGACUGGAAUUCCUGGUGUAGCGGUGAAAUGCGCAGAUAUCAGGAGGAACACCGGUGGCGAAGGCGGGUCUCUGGGCCGAUACUGAUGCUGAGGAGCGAAAGCGUGGGGAGCGAACAGG